AGCCAGCACAGCAAGAAGACAGACACGAGGAAGAUGCUGAAGCAUGUCCUUAAAGCCUCAAUAAUUUUCAGUGCUGUUCAGAAACUUUCGCAUCAAGUCCGUGAAAGCCAAUGUGAAAGAUGGCAUUUUAGAAAGUAAUACUGUCAAACUCAUGUUCAGAUUUUCACCAUGUAAAUUCCACGCAAACAAUCAUUUUUAAUACCCCUCCCUCCCCUUCAGUGUUUACCCAAGGCAGGCCACCUUGAACCAAUUACAAACAUAAGGGGCAGAGACAGAGUUUACUUUAUUGUCUGAAGAGGAAAAUCCUGUCUGGAAACCAUUUCUUCCUAGCACUGCCUGCACUGCACGCUCUCCCCUUCAAAACACAUCUUGAGAAAAAUUUGACAAAGAGUUCUUCUUACACAAGUUACAUGGAUGUUGCUGUGCUACAAGAAAAAUACUUAUUUGGAGACAGACUGCAUCCAUUGUCUGUUGUGACUCAGUAAAGACUUCUGACUCCCUUUGCAAGAUUAUAACCUUGAAACAAAGCUUGUGAGGUAGAGGAAAAAAGAGGGCAUCUUCUAUGGCAGUUACUAAGAGCGGUUUUACAGAGAAGACAGUAAGAACUUUCAACUAGAAAUGGGCUGAAGGUUACAAUGAGCAGGAUCAGAAAACCCACACAGGCUGAAGAGUUACUCCACUGGAUUUAUAUCAGCUCUGUACUGCUCCCUGGCUCAGCCAGCAAGAGAGAAAUCCCUGAGAGAAGCAAAAAUCACUCACGGCUGCAUCCCAGAGACACCACUGAACAUCUUGCGAUUGGUUUUGUUGGGGCAAGAGUGCACUCUGUCAGCUUAACCUGGAGCUGAUCUACAAGAAGACCCAUUUUCUUCUCAGUUCCCAGGUCACAGAACACGCAGCCAAGCACAGCCCUGCCCCAGCCAUGCUGUGACAGACAUUCAGGAUGGAAGGCUAAACCAGUCUUUGUCUCCCUCACUGGCUGUGAGUGGUAUGUUCAAUAUUCCUGUCAAAUACAUACGCUGUGCAGAACAUCCAAGGGUUUGCAGACGUUGUGUUAUUUUGAAUCAACUUAUUAUCCUUAUUAGACCCCGAGGAUCAUCAUUGCUGGUCCUGAAUAAUUCUCUGGGGAGCACAGCCAAAUGCAGUCAUUUAGAAAGCAACACUUUCCUGCUUCCUGCAUGUGUAUUCAUAUCAACAACUAUCGGUAAGCUCUACAAACUGGGGAGUAUAAACAGAUCAUUUCAGAGGAAGAUUUCAUUCUAUGAAUGACUUCUGUUUCAAUCUACAAAGGUGUUGUUUUUACAUAAAGUCUCUGUGCAACACAUGCCGAUAUUUCACGCUUAGGUUUCUGUUGCAGUCCAUUUCUUGGGGACUAUGAAAUGAUAGUACUGGAUUAAACUUCACUGCUUCUAAGGCACCUAGUUUCUAUCUGCUAUUGCAUAGAUAAGGGAUGGUGAGAGACUCAUAACAAGAAAAACCAAAAAACUUUAUAAUAAGCUUGUAUUAAAGUGGUCUGUUUGGCUUUCACAUGUGGUUAAAGUCAGAAAUUUGCUCAUAACCAGAAGCAAAUAUAAGCUCACUACCACCACUAAGUGCCAGAGGCCAACUAAUGUGGUAAUGUGAAAAACUCUGAAUGUUGAGGGAUACAGUUUGAGCAUUAAGGAUGGCAAGAACCAGCCUUGGAGCAUCUGGUUCUGUCACUAUUCUGUAGUAGCAAGAACUGUCACAAACUCAAGGAUGAAGUUCUUCAUGGGCCAAUUAAACCACACCCUGAAGGGAGAAACGUGUGAUAGCAGUGAAAAAUCUUGACGUACAUCCCUAUUAUGAGAAGAAAUAUAACAUGGCACUGUGCAUGCACUAAUCAUUCAUACCAGCACAGAAGAAUACUAGGCUGAACAAAUCAUGAGAUUGAGAAAAUAAGGGAAGUGAAUAGUCUUUUUUUUUUAAAUCACUGGGAUUAUAAAAACCACUUACUUUACUUUAGAUUUAUAUUUAAAUGUUUUGCUGAAGUAAGGUCUUUCGUACCCUAUAUUGACAGAUUGUUUAGGAAUUAUUUAAGUAUAUGGUUUAAAGCAUUUAAAUUAUUUUAUCAGUAGUCAAAAUAUAUCCCAUUUGUAUUUGAUCAUUUCAACUCUCAUUCUUUUACUUUCCAGAUUUCUGCAUUCACUGUUAAUAACCAUAAUUUGUCUUCUGAUACAACCAAGUCAUUAGGAAAUAUAUCUAUGGAUUUGAUCUUUAAAUAAAAUUAGCACAUUACUCUUGUCUGUUUGAGCUAAUCAAAAAGAUUAUUUUAGCCUCUCUGUUUAAUGAAGAAAAGUAUAUUGCAGAAGCAUAUGACCAUGGUUCAAAGCCAGGGAAGACACAGACAAAUGAUGGUAGCUUUCAGACACAUUGCCCUAAUUUCAUUCUUGCAACACCACUGUCUAUGAAUUUGGAAAGAAAUGCACAUCGAAUCCAGAAUACGUUUUUACACAACAUUAUGUAAUCCAAACAAUUGCAACAAUGGAAUAGACUUAAAAGCCUAAAUCUAUUGUAAAGCUGUAGAAGCUCAGGAAUUUCUAAGAAAUUUACCCAGAUUUACAGGAUAUUGUAAUCAAAUCAUAUAGCAACUAUGUUUGAAUUAACCUUUCAUAAACAUGUCUUGAACCUACAUCAUGCAAUUCAGUAUGGCUGAGUUGGCCAUAGCAAUUUCAUAGGACAUUUGUCCGAUGUUUAUAAAGUGUAAGUUUUUGUUUGUUUGUUUAAAGGAACUGUUUUGUCUGUCGAUAGGUUCUAGAAAUACAUAGCACAAAGGUUUAUAUUUUUUGUCCAAUAAAUGUCCAGUCAACCCAGGAAAACCAGGACAAGUCCAGAAGGAUGAGAAAGAAACCCACUUCAUAAUAUUCCACUGUGGUUAAGGUACUCUUCCACAAGCAUCCUAUUCCUAUAAAGUGGAAAGGUAUUCCCUUAAACUAGAAAGAAAAACAAAAUAAAACAAAAUGUUCUGUUGUUAACAAAGAAGAAUAGUACAAGAUAGAAUAUAUAUAUAUAUAGGGUAUUGACACUAAACCUCCCUAUUUAUCUCAAAUUUUUUAAAACAAAAAAUUAAAAAUCAGUACAUAGGCUUUCCAUAUUAAAAAUAUCACUUCCACUUGUGAUUAUUCUCUAAUUUUUACUCAGAUUUGAAAAUGGUAUCUCUUUGGCCAAAGCAACAUGCUUCAUACAGAACUAUGAACUUCUGUUAGCCAGAGAAGAUAGCUGCAUUCCCCUAACUUGAAAGUGAUGAGGCAUUACAAUAACUGAAUUUGUGCAACUUGAAUUACCCAAAUUACCCAAAAACUAAGAAGAUUUUUUAUAUCUAGAUGUUAAUUGGCAGAUAGUUGGAAGAGUGGAAGAAUUCAAGGUAAACUUCAGAUGUAAAAACUGAUAGAACCCAAAGGACAACAAAAUACCUCCCAAACUUCAUAUCCAGACACCUCAUCCUUCCCUCUCAAAAAUCCUGACUCUCACGAAACAGCACAUAUUCACACUGCAUAAAAUCACGUAGUUAGUCUUGCAGAUCAUCAUCUGUAAUGCUCUGAGAAUGCCAUGGUAUUUCUGCCACCACGUUCUGUGAUCUGGUAUGGAAGUGUGUGAGACAAGUUUGCAAUUUUGAAUAUUUUUUGUGUAUGAGGCUCUGUAGCAAGCAUGCUUAUAUCCCGGUACAAGCAUUUUGUAAUUCAUAUCGUUGCAUUGUCCUUCAUUUUCACUCCACACGUUUCUUAGCACUGAUAAUUUUUCUGAGAAGUCUAAGAAAUAAGAUAUGCCUCCCACAUUGUGACAAAGAGUGUCUAAGUGCAAUUCUGUGUCCUCUGUUAGCUGUGAUUUGAAAUGGCAUCUCCCUUUUGUUCCAUCACAGCAAACUUGUGGUAAAUCUUCACUCUUGCAUCAGUCUUAAGUUAGCCCAUUUGCAAUGCACAAACAGCAGCUUCUCCACUUAGCAUAGCUCAUUUUGACUGAAGAUGAGUCACAUCUACCCAAAAGUUCAGUAGUGGCUAUGCAUUUGACAGCAAAACUUUGGAAGCUUUUAGGGAAUUUCCUCACUGUUCCUCUGUAUUCUUUGUCCUAACAACUGCUGUUUUAUUCCUCUUUAUUUUAUUAGUUAUUAUCAGAUGAUAGAACUAUAAUAGUUCAGACCUGGGAGAGGUUGAAUUUUACAUUAUGGCAAAUAUUAAUAAUAUAAGAUGUUUUUGUGCUAUUUGAUUGGAAGAAUAACAGAACAUUUCAAAGAGCUCAAACUCCCCUAGGGUUUACAUACUUGAAAAUAACUGUAUCUCUGAAUUGCCAAAAGGGGAACAAGGGCAAACAACAAACCUUCAAAUUAAUAUUACAUUGGCAGCAGGUUUUUACAGACUACUAUCAGGGCUGUGUGCUGACUCCCUGGCUUAAUGAACAGCUUGAUUUAAAGCUUAAAAUUAUUAAGUGUUCCACCAGAGUCAUAAAUAAUGCAGUUUAUAAUAUUCAGAUUGAGCACAUAAAACUACAUUUGUCUUCCAUUAACAACGCACUUUUUAAGUAGCCUGACCUCUUCAGAUAUAUAAGAACAUGCAAUUAGUGCAAUUUGUCACAGGUCCUUUACAUUUUAAUAAGAUGUAAUUAAUUGUCUGUUUAGUCUAAUUAACUUUGAAACCCUGACAGUUCUUGCUCUCUAGUAUAAAGCAAGCUCCUUAUUUGAAUUGCUAAUAUUGGACAGAGAGUCUCCAAACCACAGUAAAUUCAAAUCUGUGUACCUUUGCAGAUUAAGAGACACUGGACUAACCUACUAAUAUUUGCAUUAACUUUUUCUAAAGUCAUUUUCAGCAAUCUGUGCCAACACAUCUGCGUCAAUAAAAUAUGGGAGUCAAUGUUUGUGAAACAGACAGAGUAGAGUUUCAUUAAUGAACCCACAAUGGUUCUACGUCAGUCAUACUACCCAACUAUGUUUCAUACAUGAUUUAAGAAAUGAAUUAUGGACUCUGCUGGGGAUGUAAAGUCAUUAAGCCCUUUCAAGUUACUCUGCUCAUCAGGGAAAGAUAUUGGCUGCAUGGAAGUAACACUGAACAGAUUUAACUGCUAAAAGCUUUAGAACUCUGAUUUUUUCUUUUCCCUCCAAGCUGUAUUAGAUUAUGAGAAUGUAUCUUGAUUUUAAUGCAAAUUUUUUACUUUAAAAUACAAUGAGUUCUCCCUUGAUGAUUUUAAAUGCUUAGAGGAUUGUAUUUGCCAUGAUAAAUUGCACUUAGUUCAACUGAAUAGCAAAGGGCAGACUCUGAAAUACUGUCCUCUUUUAAAUAAAAUCAUUCUCUGUAAAUGAUCCUGCAGAAGUUAAUGAUCCUCUUCAGAACCACAGAAACAAGAGAAUGCGAGAAUGUGUACAGAAAAACGCAUGUGGAAAGAACAAACCAUUCAGUGAAGUGUUGAUACAUGUUCAAAAAGAGCAUAUAUAAUACAUUCAAUGGAAGUUUUAGCAAGUUGAAAUAAUAUUUUAUUUCUUAUUCUGAAAACAGGAAUAAUUUCACAGUCUGAGCCUUGUUGCAUGACCCUCACAGAAUGCCAAGUAAGGGGAUAUAUAAAUCUCGCCUGCUAUAACACAGACACUGACAGGGACAGAAUGAGCACCAAAGCAAAUAUGAGGAGAUGGUUGGGAAGAACAUUAAUCAAGGCAUCUUUUCUACAGCUUAUCACAUCUUCUCUUGUGUAACUACACCAGUAAACAUUUUUGGCAGUGUCAGAUUAAUCCCAAUCUCCAUUUAUCUUAGCAUAGCAAUAGACAGUAUGGGGACAGACAUUUGUAAGGAAGCAAGUAGUGCUUCCCUCCUUUUGGAAUUUUAAGUCAUUUCUUCCACCUUGAAAUAAACAACUUCUCCAAAUAUUAAUCACCUCAAGUACGAUCACUGCUCAGCAAUAAUAAUGACACCAAUACUGCAGGACUCUAGCCAAAUGUAAACCGAACAGGAAAAAAAACACAACAAACAGAACAAAACAAAAUAACAACAAAAACAACAACAACAAAACAGAACAAAGAACAGUCAAAAUGACUAAUACCUAAAAUGAUGAGAGAAGUUGAAGACAUUCUGUAUUUAUCAGGGAAGAAGAAGCAUUGGUGCCCCACUUCUCCUGUAGGUCUUCAGAAAGACAAAGAACAAUUUUCAUAUUCUUACAUUCACAAUGAACAGACAAAAUUCAUAAAAAUAUGUGCAAAAUUCACGUUCUUAUUUUGUAUUGCUGAGUAUCUCUUAUAAGUUUCAUUUCUAGCAAUAUCACUGACUGUUCUCGACCAAACAGACUUGAAAUCCGGUCCCAGAAUUUUUCUACAUGAAUUCAGCUGGACUACUGGAAGAAAAAAAAGAUAGUACAACUGCUUAGUUUUUCAGGGCUAGGAUCCCAUUUACCUAAGGUUACCUAAGGAAGUAACAGAAAAGGAAAAGGGAGAAACCACAUACGAGGUAGUAAACAUGCUUAAAACUUUUUUGAUCCCUGUGGUUAAACCAAUCAACCAGAAUACACAGUUUCACUGACCAUCUCCUUACCCUUCGGUUUCUUCUGAAAUCAACGUAACAGAAUCACCUCAAGCAUACAAAAUAAAUAUAAAAAAAAUAAUCAAAUGACCAAUAAAAACUGCACACCUGCCUCAUCAUUAGUCAAAGGCAAUCUUGAUAGUGAGGAAUUUGGAUAACUGGAGAAGGGGGGAACAAGAUGGUAGCUUAAAUUUAGGUAAGUUUUAAACAUUCUAGAGUAUAAGAAAAAACAAAUAUAAAUCAACCCUGAAGUUGUAAUAAUUAAGAAAAACAAAAAGAAAUUUCAGUAAAAAUGAGUACAAAGCGUCAUGCAUAAAUGACAAUAGUGAAGAUAGGGCAAAGUAGUAUUCCGCACAAGACUCCACCUACUCUUAACUCCUUUUAAACCCAACAAACCUCAGCCAAAAUACUGCCUCCAUCUGGCACUAGGCGCCUCACUAUAAAGAAUAAAGACUAACUAGAAGUGUAGAGAAUAUCAAUGGGAAGGAAGUUUGCAAAAAAAAAAAAAAAAAGUUGAAGGAGUUAGUUUAGGAACUUCAGAAAAGAUAAGGCCAAAUGGCACAACAAGAGAUUCCCAAAUAUGUAACAAGUUGUUCUUAGCUCAUAGUAAGUAAUCUGUCUCUGCUGGGGUAGAGAGGAAUUAAAUAUUGCAUACUAGUGCGAUGUGGGGAGGAAUAAUCCUUGCUUAGCCAUAAGAGAAACUUUCUUUAACCACUUGGUUUCAAAAAUAUGUCAGCAAUGUGUCUUGUAUAUUUGUUUCAGAGCACAUAAUUAGAUAAUUUUAUGGUCUGAAAACCAUUUUAGGUCAAUCUUUCAAAGAAUUCUAAUAACAUACAGAAAAUGUUGUUCCUAUUAUACAGCAACAUUUGAAUGGAAAUGAACUUGUAACAGUAGUGACAUGCAAGUUAUGAAACUAAAUAAUACCCAAGAUUAAAUAACUUUUUGUAUACCUAUAAGAACAGAAAGUGUUCUUACAUGAAUAUAUUCUAAAUUAAUGUGUGCCGGAGGAGAAAAUCACUGAAGAACUUUAGCAUUGUUGGCAGUAGUUGACAUGCAGGUGUGAUUGAUGUCUGCCUUUCCUCCAAGGAUGAGUGGAAAGCUGGCAAAUGCCACAUAUACAUAAUGCUUUGAAUUUUAAGCCAAAUUGGUUUUCAGACAUCGUACUUGACAUUUCCCCUUCAUACUUCAAAUUAUUCCUUGGUACAAAUUGCAUGUUUAUAUGUGUUUUGCUGUACCGUCUGGUUUGAUCAUAUCUCCUUUAGGCUUUCUUGAGGCAGCUGCAGUUAUAAAUAGGCCAAGAGCACUGCUUGUAGUAAAGAUGAAAUAGAGAUUACCUUUGCCAAAAAAAAAAAAAAAAAAAAAAAAGGAGAAAAGACAAGAAAAAGCUGAAACCUUUAGAUGAAGCCAUUAGCAGAACACUGCAUUUUUAUUUUUAUUCCACUUAUACUAAACUGCCACCCAGGCUUCUACUGUUUGCCUCUAUUAAGAGGCAGCAAAAUAAUAAAGGAGAUCUUUGGCCUUCCUGAUCUGUUUUAUGAAGUUGAAGUAACAAAGCCACAGGGAGGAAUUUUAGAGGGCUCAUUGGCAUACAGCUGGCCCUACUGCAGUGGCCUAAUAAGGUUCAGAAGGAUACAGACUGCGAGCUGAGGAACACAGACGCAAUUUGUGGACAUGAAAGAUGCCAGUGAAGGCUUUACUCAGGAUCUCCUGUGACGCUGCUGUGCUGCUGACUCUGGUUUGUCAUGCACCGUGCCUGUUCCUGAAUAAGAUAACCUGAUCUAUGCCUCAGGCCUUCCUUCUAUUUCAGUUUUUGUUUCAUCAAAACAGGGGGGAUGGGCAGAGAGAAAGAAAGAAAAAAAAAAAAGCAGAGUUUCUAAGUUUACAGGUCAUAUAUUCACUACCUGGAGACAUACACAAAGACUAAAGGAACAAGCGUGACAGCUAUGCUUAUUGUUUCAUUAAGGUCUGUAACUGCAAAUCCUGAGUCUGUGUUGCAACUACUUGGUGAGAUAAAGUCUAGCUGUGGAGUAGCAAAUUAGAAUUAGAAACUGGAAAGAUAUCUAAUGAUCAGCAAACAGACAGUUUGCUUAAACACUUAAGUAUAGCAUAUUGAUUUGCUCACUGCCAUAUUCAAGCAUAACUAAAAAGAUAAAAUCCUGAGUAAAGAAGGUAGAACUCCAGAUAUCGAUCCCCCGACUCAUAUUGAUAAGUGCAAGUUAAAAUGUAAAUAUAAACGGAGCCUCGAGUUUCACCUCAAAUAAAACCCUCAGGCAUGCUGAGGAAAUUUGAACGGUGAAGAUCUGCCAACAGGCAUAACAGUUUGCUGAACUGUAGCACUCCAAUUAGAAAGAUAAAGAUGCAGAGGUAGUAGCUGUAAAACACUCAGUUUCACAACCUUGGCCCUCUCUUUUCCUUCACAGAAAAACAAGAGGCAGCUGUCUGGCUCUGUUAGGUUAGCAGCUGCACGUCCUUCAGCAGUGGAGUUUAAAACAUCUAAAAGAACCUCAAAAUGGACGCAGGUCCUUCUGUUCAAAUCCUGGGACAGAAAAGUAUCAGCGCUCCACAAAUCGCUCAUUUUAACACCAAGCUGCCUCGCAUCAACUUAUUUUAUAGUCAUCAAGUUCAGCGUUAUCGGUGAAUGUUUCAUAAAAUGUCCUGAACCCAGAAUCACCUCUGAAGCAUUAAGCUGACCCGGGGUUUUUUAAAAUUAUAUUCACAGCACUGAUUAUGGUGCAAGCUGUGUAACUUCCUGGCCUGGAGCUACACCUUUGACAUGAAUACAAUAAAUUUGUGUUAAGAAUACAAAAGGAGAGAUAACCAAGUUUCCCAUUCACAACUCUAGCAAGUAGUGCGAUUUCCAGAAGUUGAUUGAUGCACUGAACUCUCAUUUAUUUUCAGGGCAAUUUUACUUGUUAAGAGCUGAUAGGAGUGCUCACUAUUCUAGAUUCUAUUAAAUGCAGAAUAAAAAAGGCCACAGCACUUCAGGUCUGAAGCUCCAACACAUCAUAUUCUUUGACACCAUUCUGUUCAAAACAAGUUCAAACAAAACUGCCCUAAGCUACAGUACAGUAAUCAUUAAAACUAAAUCUAAGUUAAUAUCGAAUGCUGUUAACUUUCAUAGCAGUGCUAGUCAAGAAACACCCUGAUGGGAAGCUGACAAUUUUAGCUGUUAUUAUCAUCUUCUUUCUCAGAACCAGCUGGAUGCUUUAAAGGUGGAAUUGUAUAUUUUCCAUGUUUCGAUAUCAUAUCUUAGCACAAAGGCAUAUCUACACAAAUGCAAGCUGGUCUGUGCACUUCUGUUUAUCUCUUCAACUUGUAAUGAAUCUUUCAUUUUAAUCUAGGACUUAUCAGAAAACAUUAACUCACCAAAACUUCUAAUUGAAUCAUCUGUCAAAGAUUCCAAAAGAAGCAUCAUACAAAAGCACUAUAUACUUCAGGCCCUUUAAUCCCCUGCUUUCUCUGCCACCAGGCUCCUUUCAUAUUCACCUUGGGACUUCGGAGAAGGGCACAGAAUCAUAAAAUCACAGAAUCCUUAGAGUUGUAAGGGACCUUUAAGGCCAUCUAGUCCAACUCCUCUGAAAUGAACAGAGACACCACAGCUACAUCAGGUUGCCCAGGGCCUUAUCCACUCUCUCCUUGAAAGUCUCCAGGGACAGGGCAUCCACCACAUCACGGGGCAACCUGUUUCAGUGCCUCACCACCCUCACUGUAAAAGACUUUUUCCUUAUAUCUAACCCAAAUCUACCCUCUUUAAGCUUAAAACCAUUUCCUCUUGCUCUAUCACAACAGUCUCUGUUCCUGUAGCUCCCCUUUAGAUACUGGAAGGCUGCUAUCAGGUCACCUCAGAGCCUUCUCUUCUCCAGGCUGAACAGCCUCAGCUCUCUCAGCCUGACAUCUCACGUUGAAAAGUUUUCAAAGCAUUCAGAUUCAAACCACCAAUAAACGAAAGAAACAGCAAGAGGAGAAUUACUGCCAACUUGUAUCACUUGAUAAAAUAAUACUUGCUGCACUUAAAUAAAAAAUAAAUCAAGCCAAAGACACAUUGUCCUGAAUUUGCUUAAUAAACAAGUUUAAAAAUUACUCUCAAUAUUGAUUCCAUCAGCAUCUGACUAUAGUAUAUACACACUAGUUUAUACCUACCAAUAAACAGUAAUGAUUUAGACAUCUUCACAUGCAAGACUGUUAUCAGUUCUGACUCUUUAAAAAAAAAAAAAGUGAAAUAAUUUUCUUUUAUAGGAACUAUAAGCAAGUGGCAUGCUAAUUUAUUAAUUCGUACACGUGUGAAAUGUAUGAUUACUAUGUGUUUUUUUUUUCCUAAAAGUAGAGACAUAACAGAAAUAAGGUGUAGUAUUUAAAAUAUUUACCUGUUAUUUUCAUGGGAGUUAAAACAGGUUAGAAAUAGGCAGGUUCGGGCAUUUUGAAUUACAAGUGCUGAAUUUUUAAUGUAUGGAAAUCUGAAUAUUUGCUCUCUAUGGAAAAGCUUAGCUAAUGAGUUGCCAACAGCCAUUUUCUUGCCCUGGAAGAAAACCUGAGGCAUUUACAUAGCUCUUAUUUGUUCUUUAUUUAGGCAGACUUGCUGACUUCAGUGGGAACUUAGCAGUGCAAGAUCUGGAAGUAAAAAUUGAAUGAAGACAUUAACAUCUGUUCACCUGGAAAGAGUACCUGGAUUUUUUUUUGGCUUACUUUAUACCCAGUGCUGAAUAAAACAGGCAAUGGCAUGGUUAUUCACAGAAUAUUGUGAAAUGGAUCAUUUUGAACAACCCACUAGAGAGAUUAAGAAUAGAGGAGAUACCUGAUUUUCUGAACUAUACAUUGAAAUUCCAUCUUUGAAUAGUAGCAGUCAAGCAGAGCUUCAGCUGCAUAAAAGGGGACUACACAAAUGCUUCUAGCAUACUUAAAAGCCUCUUUGUUAUACUGAAGAGACAAACUUAAUAUAAACUAUAAAAUGAACCUCAUUAUACAAUGCUGAGACUCCUACCGAAGCAAUAUCAUGACAGUACCUUAUAAGCUUUGUGCUGAACGAGUGUACUGUUUUUGCCCUCAUUUCUCCUGUCUUCCUGUAAGGCUGAAAAUUACCUAUUUUGGCCUCGUCUCAUACCAUAGCUUUCACUUGGUUAUGGGUUCUCAGGAGCACACUUUGGACUAGUGUUUUACAGAGACAUAUGGUACAGAUGUUCUGUGAAUCCUUCUAGACUAAAUGUCUAUUUACAUCAGUUGCCUGUUAUGCUAACACAGUAGACUAAAUGACUUGUCCUUAAUCUGUAUUCUUAGGGAAAAACCUUUAGCUUUAAAUGCUCUGUCCUACUAUUCUCUGCUAUGGAUGCUCCAAAUUCUUUCUCCUCACUCAAAUGGGCUUUAGGAUGCAAUUCUCCAAAAAUGAUAGUAACAAAAUGUCAUGACUUUAAAUCUCCCAAGAAUCAUUUCUCAUGUAGCUUGCUCUGAAAGUAAUCCCUUCUAUUUAUUAACAUAGAAAUUGCAACAGAUACAAAGAGCACAGCAACAUCAUUUGAUAGAGCAAAUUCUCCGCUACAAAACACUAUUUUUCAGCAUCAUCACCACCACUAUGGAUUUUCACCAGCCUGCAUGCCACGCUCACAGAAAUCUGCACCAACAGAGAUAACCCACUGUUUCACAGCUGCUACUACAGCAUCACUGCUAGGAAGAUGUUGCCCACACAGUCCACACAGUUCAUUAGGCCAAACAGAUAGAAAGCAUCAAAUCCAGACGGCAUAGUGGGUGUGGUAGGACACACUGGCAAUGUGCUCCACAGUCUUUAAACUGAUAUGGGACCUGGUGUUAUGUGUUACAAGAACAAGAUUUUCUUUUUUGGCCUGACACAAGAAGUUUGAGACUUCAGUGUAGUCAGCACCACAGUGUAGCAGUCAGGGUUGAUGGCUUGUCUGGGUUCCAGGAAAUCUAGAAGAAUCUCUCUGUUAAUAUCCCAUAAGACACUGCACAAUACUUUACUCACUGAGUAAAGUAUCUUGAACAUUUUCAGUGGAGAAUUAACAUUUCAUCACUCCAUGGACUGCCAUUUUGACUCUGGCUCAUAGUGGUGACAUUACACCUUAUCUCUCAUCCAGAAAACUGUCACCUUCAGCCUCAUAUUUGUUCAGUAGGUUCUGACAUACAGUGUUGCAUACGGUGUUCUUUCUCCUCUUACGUGAGCAUUCAUGGGGCCCACUUGGUGCAAACUAAUAUUCCAAGAUGGUCACCAUCGUUUUCAAUGCACCAAAGCUGAUAUUCAGCUCUAUACACAUAUCCCUGCUUGUAAUCCAUCAAUUUGCCUGGAUGAGCUGAUUGAGACACUCUCCAUUUUGCGGCGUGACAGCUGGGCAUGGUCAUACAGAACGUGGCCAUUGCCUCAUUGUACUAACACCCACCUUUUAGUUUCUAUAAACAUUCAGUAAGAGUUAAUGCAUGUUAAUAGGUGCAGUCUUUUCUGCAUGUAGGAAUAAAGUGACACACCUAUGCUUCAUAUGCACUUCCAUGUCAGAUGCCAAUUUGUCAGACUGCCCCUCUGCUGCCACCUGUUACACAGCAGUAAAAUGGAAUGAAAUACUCGCAGGAAGGGUCAGUCUCUAGUGCCAUACCAUUAACAUCUGCUUCUGAUGUUGUGGGCCAACAUCAUAAAAUAGGAGGGCAUUUCUUCUGGAGCAGUCCUCAUAGUUUUUGUUUACUUUUCCAUGCAUUGGAGGAAGUUACAGUGACACCUGAGACCUUUAAGUAAUAAAUGCUCCUGACUAGCACAGAAACAACCAACUCCACACAUACAAGAGGAGUACACAAAGAAAGUUGAAAUAAGUUUCUUUAUCUCACUGAAGUAAUGACUAGAUUUUGAAACAAGAAUUCCAUACAAAAGAAGGAUAGUAGCUUAAGCCUUUGAAGGCAAAAAAAAAAAGUCUGAUUUCUCCAUAGGAAGAUCUGAGAUAUUUCUGCAUCUGCUUCUGUUUCUUUAUUUGAUCAGGUAUUUUCAUUAUAUUAAAGGUAUUAAGCAUUCAUAAAUACAAAUAAAAGCAUUCUUAUAAAGCAGCCAAGCAAUGGCUUCCUUUGCAACCAAGAACAACUCUGAUUCUUUUCUCCCCAAUCCCAUUUUGGUUUCUUGAACAUGAAUGUCUUCAGCCAUAAAAAAAACAACACCAAUAAUAAUAAUAAUAAAACACAUAGUAAUUGAAAACUUACUGGCUAAUUUCCAUCAGCUUUGUAAAGUAUUUGUAUUUUAUAUUAUUCUCCUUCACUUGAUUCUUUUGAGCAAGUCACAGAUGAUCAAUUACUCAUUUUCUCAACCAUUAAUAAAAAUCAGGCCUUAAAUCUGAGAAAUCGCUAAGCCCUUAAAACUUCAAAGUUUGACAGCCUGAACUUCCUAUGUCAAAUGGUUAUGAGCACACUUCCAUGUCUCCACAGAUUUUAUAGCACUACUCUUGUGCAUUCUUAAUCUGAAAUCACUUUCUGCCUGAGGCUAGAACACAAAACGUAUCUUCCCAACAGAUGCAAACCUAGUUGUCAUCUAACUUACAUUAAAUGCCAUCUAAGUUAUAGUAUGUUUGUAUGUCUCUCUAUGUCAGUUGAUAGAAAUAAAAAGAAAAGUGCUCUUGGUCUACUCCAUUUAGCCAGAAAAUCCACCAAUAAAAAGGAAUAAAAAUCAGCAGAAUAUCCAAGCUGAUAAUUACUUAGUCUGCUAACAGACUCCAUUCUCAUAUUAUAAAAAUCACCUAAUACAGUGCCGGGACUAUGAACUAUCCAAACAAAAAAGAUAAUCGGCCACGGAUCAAGGAGAAUAUUUCAUGAAAUGUAGAGCUAUAAGGAUGUAAUAAAAUUGAAGCAAUACUCUAAUGAAUAUGUACUAAAUCAAAUAGAAAGGCAUUUGUGAUUUUUUUUGAAUUUAGGAAGAGAAUUAUAGUACAGUUGAGAAAGUGAUGGCAGCACUUCCUGCAGAUAUGCCUAGCUAUCUCAUCAAGCUAUCUAACCUUUUUGUUGGUUUGUUUUUGCCAGUGUGAUCAAAUACUUUGCACAAGAGAUUACAAGAUUGAGCCAAAACACACAGCAGUAUUAGAGGACUAUUGCAUUUCCUGUAGUUGAUUUUAUUUUAUUUUUUUUUAACUGGUAGCUGGAAUUCUUAAAAGAUGCACUCUCAUUACCCACUUCAUAGACAGACUUGAGCUCUUCCUGAUCAUAUAUGGUCACUCUACACUGGUAGUCAAGUUCUGCUAUAUACAGUUAUAAGAAAAUAGGUCUUAAAGGGAAGCCAAAGACCUUAUAGUCCAUCUCCAUAUGUUUCUUAGUGGAUUAAAUGGUUCCUAGUAUAACUUGCCAUUUAUUUGUGAAACCUAUACGAAAGAAACUCAGUAAGCAGAGUGACUGGGGUUUUUCUUGUUGUUUUGUUGGUUUGGAUUUUGUAUUUUAAAGCAUCAAAUCCUUCUAGCUAAUAAAAUCCAUAACUGAUUCUCAGGGCUAUCAGAAUAUCACCAACCCAACUUUUUUUUUUUUUUUUUUUUUUUUUUUUUUUUUUUUUUUUUUUUUUUUUGUGACUUACCAAAACACAGUUGGAAUUAUCUUCCUUUUCACAG
Gallus gallus (chicken) is the source of this 15076-nucleotide long non-coding RNA. The record is from Ensembl. Lineage: Eukaryota; Metazoa; Chordata; Aves; Galliformes; Phasianidae.